This 150-nucleotide ribosomal RNA is filed under the name Plasmodium gallinaceum. RNAcentral describes it as "5.8S ribosomal RNA". It matches the Rfam family "5.8S ribosomal RNA". Rfam says of the family: 5.8S ribosomal RNA (5.8S rRNA) is a component of the large subunit of the eukaryotic ribosome. It is transcribed by RNA polymerase I as part of the 45S precursor that also contains 18S and 28S rRNA. The record is from RNAcentral. Lineage: Eukaryota; Apicomplexa; Aconoidasida; Haemosporida; Plasmodiidae.
CAAUCUUAACGAUGGAUGUCUUGGUUCCUACAGCGAUGAAGGCCGCAGCAAAAUGCGAUAAGCAAUGAAAAUUGCAGUGACUGUGAAUCAUCAGAAUGCUGAAUGUAAACUACACCAAUUCCCCUUAAAGGAAUAUGGUACUCCUACAUU